GCUACCUACCUUAAGAUGAGCCCCCCAUCCUCCAGUUCCUGCUCUGUUCUUCUCUGCUCAAGCAGGCCAGAUGCUCCUCUGGCACUGCGAGCAGGCGGGAAGCAGGAGUUGCUGGCCUGCUCUGCAAACAGACAACCACUCUGCACUCUUGUGGCUGUGGGAUGUAAGACAAGAAUCAGAGCGGGCAGGCGGGCCGCAAAUAUAUU
Pelobates cultripes (western spadefoot toad) is the source of this 206-nucleotide non-coding RNA. Lineage: Eukaryota; Metazoa; Chordata; Amphibia; Anura; Pelobatidae. The record is from the annotation of a GenBank genome assembly.